RNAcentral lists this long non-coding RNA (217 nucleotides) under Vitis vinifera (wine grape). RNAcentral's name for it is "long non-coding RNA (VVIN_LNC006562)". The record is from RNAcentral. Lineage: Eukaryota; Viridiplantae; Streptophyta; Magnoliopsida; Vitales; Vitaceae.
AAAAGGUAGCGGGUUACAUGCUGUGGUAGAAAGAUAUUUUUCGUUGGCUUGGGGAGCAAGCUAGAGGGGUUUUUUCUUUUUUUUCUUUUUUUGGCUUUUGAAAAGGAAGGAGGGUUGGGAGAUGAAGAAAUCGGGAUCAAGGAGAUACCUCAGAGAGAACAUAGGUGAGCUUGAGACGGAAUGAGAGGCGUUUUGGAGAGGAGAACUGGAAGCUAAC